GGGUUUUGGAUGUGGUGGCUCGAGCGCGACGAAAUCGCGAGAGGAGUCGUGGGCGGUUCGGGGCGUGCGUGGCCGUGGAAUCCGGAUGCAGUUGGGGUUGAAGACGAUGGCGGGGCCCGCCUGGCAGUGGCCUCGGGCAGCUCUGGCGCGGGCUGGGCCGGUCGGCUCUGUCCAGUUCGGUCCAGUUUGGCGGUUCGGUCCGGUUCGGCUUCGGUUUUUCUUUUCUUUUUCCUAUUUUCUGUGUUUUUGAACUCCAAUUUUGAUUCAAGGCUCCAAAUCACUCCAAAUAAAUUGCAACAAAAUUUGCAAAAUCAUAUUUUCAUAUGAUCUAACCUUUGGGACAAGAAUUUCAUCAAAAUAAAAUAUUUAAAAAUACAUUUUUCUAUAAAAUGGCUUUUAGGUCCUUUUAGGUUAACAAAAUAAAUUAUUUUUCAAAAUAAUUUCAAAAGCCAAUUUAUGGGAUAGCUUUAUAUACGCAUUAAAUCCCUUUUUAUGCCAAAACCCUCAUGGGUUAAAAUGCAAU
This 523-nucleotide long non-coding RNA is filed under the name Brachypodium distachyon (stiff brome). RNAcentral's name for it is "long non-coding RNA (BDIS_LNC005175)". Lineage: Eukaryota; Viridiplantae; Streptophyta; Magnoliopsida; Poales; Poaceae. The record is from RNAcentral.